CCUACGGGUGGCUGCAGUGGGGAAUAUUGCACAAUGGGGGGAACCCUGAUGCAGCGACGCCGCGUUGGUGAGGAAGUACUUCGGUAUGUAAAGCCCUAUCAGCCGGGAAGAAAAUGACGGUACCUGACUACGAAGCCCCGGCUAUCUACGUGCCAGCAGCCGCGGUACUACGUAGGGGGCAAGCGUUAUCCGGAUUUACUGGGGGUAAUGGGAGCGUAGACGGCGUGCCAAGUCUGCUGUGAAAGGCCGGGGCUCAACCCCGGGACUGCAUUGGAAACUGGCAUGCUGGAGUGCCGGAGGGGCAAGCGGAAUGCCUGGUGUAGCGGUGAAAUGCGUAGAUAUUAGGAGGAACACCGGUGGCGAAGGCGGCUUGCUGGACGGUAACUGACGUUGAGGCACGAAAGCGUGGGGAGCAAACAGGAUUAGAUACCCCGGUAGUC
This 440-nucleotide ribosomal RNA is filed under the name uncultured bacterium. RNAcentral's name for it is "partial 16S ribosomal RNA". It matches the Rfam family "Bacterial small subunit ribosomal RNA", at positions 338 to 795 of the family's 1533-position model. The record is from RNAcentral.